RNAcentral lists this RNase P RNA (346 nucleotides) under Candidatus Taenariivivens baikalensis. RNAcentral's name for it is "RNase P RNA component class A". It matches the Rfam family "Bacterial RNase P class A". Rfam says of the family: Ribonuclease P (RNase P) is a ubiquitous endoribonuclease, found in archaea, bacteria and eukarya as well as chloroplasts and mitochondria. Its best characterised activity is the generation of mature 5'-ends of tRNAs by cleaving the 5'-leader elements of precursor-tRNAs. Lineage: Bacteria; Pseudomonadati; Candidatus Omnitrophota. The record is from RNAcentral.
UGAUCCUUUCAAGCCGUCGCUUCCCGCCUUUGGGUGGGGGGAGGAAAGUCCGGGCUUCAUCGGGCAGCGUAGUGGGUAAUACCCACCCCCACUAGCUUUUUUGUGGGCGGAUUAGAGCCACAGAGACGAGUUCUCCGUUGUUUUUUUUGACGGAGAGGUGAAACGCGGCAAUCUCUACGUGAAGAAAGGCCAAACAAAUCUCUGCUUAGUCCUAAGCGCCCGCUUAGAGGGAAACCUGGAGAUUGGGUAGGCCGAACGAGGCCUUGAGCAAUCAAGGCCCUAGAUAGAUGACGGCCAGGUUCACUUCGGUGGACUACAGAACCCGGCUUAUCGAAAGGGUUAGACA